This is a long non-coding RNA of Mytilus californianus (California mussel), 1160 nucleotides long. RefSeq lists it as uncharacterized. The transcript is spliced from 2 exons. The record is from RefSeq and is a predicted model, not a curated record. NCBI's taxonomy places the organism in Eukaryota, Metazoa, Mollusca, Bivalvia, Mytilida, Mytilidae.
GGUCCAAAGGGUCCAAAAUUAAACUUUGUUUGAUUUUAGCAAAAAUUGAAUUCUUGGGGUUCUUUGAUAUGCUGAAUCUAAACAUGUAUUUAGAUUUUUGAUUUUUGGCCCAGUUUUCAAGUUGGUCCAAAUUGGGGUCCAAAAUGAAACUUUGUUUGAUUUCAACUAAAAUUGAAUAUAUGGGGUUCUUUGAUAUGCAGAAUCUAACCAUGUAUUUAGAUUUUUUAUUUGUGGACCCCGUUAUCAAAUUGGUUCAUAUUGAGGUCAAAAGGGUCCAAAAUUAAAGUUCGUUUGAUUUCAUCAAAAAUUGAAUUAUUGGGGUUCUUUGAUAUUCCAAAUCUAACCGUGUAUUUAGAAUUUUAAUUUUAAGUCCCGUUUUUUAAAUUGGUCUACAUUAAGGUCCAAAGGGUCCAAAAUUAAACUUAGUUUGAUUUUAGCAAAAAUUGAAUUCUUAGGGUUCUUUGAUAUGCUGAAUAUAAACAUGUGUUUAGAUUUUUGAUUAUGGGCCCAGUUUUCAAGUUUGUCCAAGUUGGGGUCCAAAAUUAAACUUUGUUUGAUUUUAACAAAAAUUGAAUAUAUGGGGUUCUUUGAUAUGCUGAAUCUAACCAUGUAUUUUGAUUUUGGACAUUGGACCAUAAUAGGUAAAUUAAAAAAAAUUCAAGUUCUUAGACCACAUUCUUUCUGUGUCAGAAACCUAUGCUGUGUCAAAUAUUUAAUAACAAUCCAAAUUCAGAGCUGUAUCAAGCUUGAAUGUUGUGUCCAUACUUGCCCCAACUGUUCAGGGUUCGACCUCUGCGGUCGUAUCAAGCUGCGCCCCAGCGAAGCAUUUUAUUUUUAAAGUUGGCCUAGAAAUGGCUAUUUUACCAACACCAGCAAUAAAGUGAAUUUGUUAUUUUGUAGGUUCUUUGUAAAGAGUGAAAUUUAAUAUUUUAUUUACUUUUGAAAGUACUAUGAAAAAUUAUGUGCACUGUCAACAUAAAAUAAAAUAAUUACUGAUUUACCAGUAGUUAUUAAAAUAAGAAAACAGCUAACAAUAUUUUGAGAACGUAACAUUUAUCAGUCAAAGUAUAAAUAACUAUUAAGAAUUUAUAUCAAGAAAAAAAAAAAAAAAAAUAAAAAUAUUGAGCUUCCAUUUGUUGCAAUGAAAUCAUAUCUAAACA